UCCCACUUCCCUGCCCUUUUCCCUGCGGGGGCGACAGGGGCGCCGCUUGCGAGGACAGGAGCAGGUUCCACCCCCGCGCCCUCGCCCCUGCUGCCCAGGACGGUGCUGGCUCGCGUGGGCCACACCUGGGCCGCCCUUUACCGGUCCGCCGCCUCUCUCGGCCCGGCUGCAGGGCCUCCCCCGGUGGGGUGUGCCUUCUGUCCCCCGUCCGCUGGCGCGGGCAGGGCCUUGGUCCCGCCGACGGGCCUGAUAACGGGGUCUCGGCCCCCCGCCCACAGCCGCGCACCCCCAUCGCCUCCGCCGGAACAAACCCAGCUGAUCCCCCCCAGUCCCCCCCUUGACAGUUCCGUGACGCAGCCGGUUUUCUUUCUGUUUGGGGACUGACAGCUAAAGCUCCCGUUGGGUCGCCUUUCUGGGACUAGAAUUGGCCUCUGAUCGCCGGGAGGUAGAUAGAGCAGGGGGUCUGGUCCUUGGCAGCGGCCACCUCCCGAGCCAGCCGAGCCUCCGUUUGCUUUCGCAGGACCCCCGUGUUGUCUCUCGCGGCUUCUCGUCUUCCCACUUUGGUUUGGCUUGGGAACCUGGGGCCCUGGUAAAACCAGACACCGAAUUGCUCUUACACAGCCAGGGUUACUGUCGGUGGCUCCCUGUCUCUACCCAGGGGAAGGUGGGCAGCACCAGCCUCUCAGCAGCUGGGAGUCAGAGAGAAUGCCCUGCGACAUGGCCCCAUCAGCCAUCGUGCUCCUCUGAGAGGCUGUCAGUGCUGAGUCACCCUAUCUGUCCACCUCGUUUGGGUGGGCAGACCUGUGUGCCAUGCCAGGGGCUCCUGACUGUUCCCACCCCGGGGGGAGGGGUAACUCUAGCAGUGUGUUUCCUUAGCACUCAGGAGUAGAGUAGAAAGAGGCCCUUAACCCCUCCCUUGUGCUCGCCUUCAGGAGCUAGGCAGCAGCCCCUUCGGUGACUUGAGUGAGCCACUGGGCCCCAGGCAGGUGCUCUUGGACAAAGGCUACUGCUAGUGUGGUCUCUUGGAGUUGAGGCUGUUACUUUGAUGGACGUGCACUUUGCCCCAACCCCUUCUUUGUUAGCCUCCACUGUCUCCACUUAGAUCCCGUCUGCAGAUGCGUGUAGUCCUUUCUGGGUUCGAUUUGGCAGGAUUGAGUUGUGUUCCCUCCUCCUUCUGGAAGAAAGACCAUAAUCACGUUAGUGGGUGAAAUUGACUCUAAUAGUUACUGCCAUUUAGACUCAGGGCUAAAUCUGGCACCUUGAGGACCCAAGCCCGGGCAUAGGCUUCCUGGGGAUGCCGGGUCUGGCAGUGGCUCCACCUUGCUGUGCUGUUGACCUCACUGCCGCAGGCUUCCUGGUUAAAGCCACAGGCCUGCCGCUGGCCCACUGCCCAUCAACCUACUGAUUGACCCUUGAGGUGGUCCCCUCUGGGGCAUGCCCAUGGCAGGGCCUGCCAUCAUGCGCCUGAGCUCCCUGUUGGCUCUGCUGCGGCCAGCGCUGCCCCUCAUCCUCGGGCUGUCUCUGGGGUGCAGCCUGAGCCUCCUGCGGGUCUCCUGGAUCCAGGGUGAGGGAGAAGACCCCUGUGUAGAGGCCGUGGCGGGGCCAGGAGGGCCACAUAAUCAUGACUCAAGAACUGGACUCGACCAAAGUGAUGAAGACUUCAAGCCCCGGAUUGUCCCUUACUACAGGGAUCCCAACAAGCCCUACAAGAAGGUGCUCAGGACUCGGUACAUCCAGACAGAGCUGGGCUCUCGGGAGCGGUUGCUGGUGGCCGUCCUGACUUCCCGGGCCACGCUGUCCACCCUGGCCGUGGCUGUCAACCGCACGGUGGCCCACCACUUCCCUCGAUUACUGUACUUCACGGGGCAGCGCGGGGCCCGGACUCCUGCGGGGAUGCAGGUGGUGUCUCACGGGGACGAACGGCCAGCCUGGCUCAUGUCGGAGACGCUGCGCCACCUUCACACGCACUUUGGGGCCGACUACGACUGGUUCUUCAUCAUGCAGGACGACACGUACGUCCAGGCCCCCCGCCUGGCGGCGCUUGCCGGCCACCUCAGCAUCAACCAAGACCUGUACCUGGGCCGAGCCGAGGAGUUCAUCGGCGCCAGCGAGCAGGCGCGGUACUGCCACGGGGGCUUUGGCUACCUGCUCUCACGGAGCCUCCUGCUUCGGCUGCGGCCACACCUGGACGGCUGCCGUGGGGACAUUCUGAGCGCCCGUCCUGAUGAGUGGCUCGGCCGCUGCCUCAUCGACUCUCUGGGCAUCGGCUGUGUCUCGCAGCACCAGGGGCAGCAGUAUCGUUCAUUUGAACUGGCCAAAAAUAGGGACCCCGAGAAGGAGGGGAGCUCGGCUUUCCUGAGUGCCUUCACCGUGCACCCCGUCUCCGAGGGCACCCUCAUGUACAGGCUCCACAAACGCUUCAGCGCCCUGGAGCUGGAGCGGGCGUACAGCGAGAUAGAGGAGCUGCAGGCUCAGAUCCAGAACCUGACCGUGCUGACCCCCGAGGGCGAGGCAGGGCUGAGCUGGCCCAUUGGGCUUCCGGCCCCUUUCACGCCACACUCCCGAUUUGAGGUGCUGGGCUGGGACUACUUCACAGAGCAGCACACCUUCUCCUGCGCGGAUGGGGCCCCCAAGUGCCCCCUGCAGGGGGCCAGCAGGGCGGAUGUGGGCGACGCCGUGGAGACGGCCCUGGAGCAGCUGAACCGGCGCUACCAGCCCCGCCUGCGCUUUCAGAAGCAGCGACUGCUCAAUGGCUACCGACGCUUCGACCCCGCGAGGGGCAUGGAGUACACCCUGGACCUGCUGCUGGAGGCCGUGACGCAGCGCGGCCACAGGCGGGCCCUGGCCCGCAGGGUCAGCCUGCUGCGGCCCCUGAGCCGUGUGGAGAUCCUGCCCAUGCCCUAUGUCACCGAGGCCACCCGCGUGCAGCUGGUGCUGCCGCUCCUGGUGGCCGAGGCCGCCGCCGCCCUCGCCUUCCUCGAGGCCUUCGCGGCCAGCGUCCUGGAGCCGCGAGAGCACGCGCUGCUCACCCUGCUGCUGGUCUACGGCCCCCGGGAAGGCGGCCGCGGGGCCCCGGACCCGUUCCUUGGGGUGAAGGCCGCGGCGGCCGAGCUAGAGCGACGGUACCCCGGGACGCGGCUGGCCUGGCUGGCCGUGCGCGCCGAGGCCCCUUCCCAGGUGCGGCUCAUGGACGUGGUCUCCAAGAAGCACCCCGUGGACACGCUCUUCUUCCUCGCCACCGUGUGGACCCGGCCCGGGCCCGAGGUCCUCAACCGCUGCCGCAUGAACGCCAUCUCCGGCUGGCAGGCCUUCUUCCCGGGCUCCACCUCUUCCGGGCCGUGGAGCCAGGGCUGGUGCAGAAGUUCUCCCUGCGGGACUGCAGCCCCCGGCUCAGCGAGGAGCUCUACCACCGCUGCCGCCUCAGCAACCUGCAGGGGCUGGGGGGCCGCGCGCAGCUUGCCAUGGCCCUGUUCGAGCAGGAGCAGGCCAACAGCACCUAGCGUGGCCCGUGCAGGGCGAGGCAAGACGGACGGACAGAUGGAGAGCUUGUUGCUGUAAUUUUUUUUUAAUAAGAAAACGUUAUUAAAAGUGUCUUCUGCCAAACUGUUUUUAGGUCUAGGGGAACUGGAGGAAGGAGGAGGCUGUGAGGGAGGGAGUGGGGUUUUUCCCAGGGGGACCCCUGCUGCCUUUCCCCUUGUCCUUCCUCCCCCGUUGGUUGCCAAUGACACACGAGGCUGCUCUCAGAUGCAUGAGCUUUAAUCAUUCCCCUGCCUCACCCGGAAGGCGUCAGAGGCGCACCGGCAGAGCCCGGGGUGGGGGGGCAGGCCCAGCCCCGGGGUGGGGGGCCCUCCACGGUGCUCCUCGCUGCAGGGGCUCCUAGGUGGUACGCACGACCAGCGACUGCUCCAGCUCCUGCCUGCGCUGCUGGAUCUUUAGAGAAAUAAGAGCAGCGGCAGGGUUACGCUGUUGAUGGUGAGUGACGGGACCAUCCCGGCCACCCAGCCACCCUGGGAGAGCCAGUAGGAGCCUGGCGGGAGAGAGGCUCCCCUGUGGUGAGGGGAUUGGGAGAAGUGGCUGAGAGCAGAGGCUUCUCUUGGGGGGCUGGGGAGGUGGGGGGGAGACCUGAGGCACAUGGGCCCCUCCACACCUUGCAGUAGAAAUAGCGACUGACGGCUUCCUGGGACCAGGGCUGGUGGUAGAACUCAGCCCGGCGCUCCUCCUCAGGGUUGCCCGCCACAUCUGUCAUCACCUGGGAGGGAGCCAUGGGGUCAGCCCUGAGCCCGGGCCCCCUCCGGCCCUUGUGUGACAACGUGUCCUGUCUUCCCCAUAUGCUUGUCUUCCAUCCAGUGUUCCCUGAGGCCCCUUCACCUUGAGGUCCCGGCUCUGGGAGCGGAGCAGGUCUUGGAUGUAGCCUUUGGGGUCUCUGGAGAAGCUUAGCAUGAAGUCCCUCUGGAUCUUGAGCUGGUUUAUGGACUCGAUCGUCUCAUGGAUCUGCAGCUCUGGGCUCUGGCCCCACCUUACUGUCCAGAGCGCUGAUCUCCUGCUGGUUGGCGGUGGACAGCAGGAAGCUGCUCAUCUGUCCCUUCAGGGGCUCCUCCACCUCCACGUCAAUGUCAUAGCACGCUGUCUUCUUCUGGUCCGACGGGUCCACGCUGCCAGGGAAGUCCAGUCCUUGGUGUCCCUGCUGCUCCCACAGAGGCCAGGGACCCGAGGGGACACCGGGGUGGGGGGGGGGUGGGGAGAGGGGUGCAGGACAGCAGGGACCCCCUGGGCUGGGGAGCAAGCUGGAGCCUCACCUGAUGACGUGGUUGAUGACAAUUGGGUCAGGGGGCAACAGCAGAGCUGUGAGGCGCUGGGGAAUCUCUGAAAACUUCAGCCGGGGGCAAUCAAAAAUCUGAAGUAGGCGGGGAGAGAGAGAGAGGGAGAGGGAGAGGGAGAGAGAGAGAGACCACGCUCAUCUGCUUGGAAACGGCAGAACUACAGUCCUAGAUCUUCCAUCCUGGGAAGGCAACACCAAGAGCAAGUCUCACUCUUCGGGGCUCCUGGGGCCGCGCCGAGCGUGUCUGUGCGUGGUGGCGUGCCCACGCGGGGGCAGGUGGGGGCGGGGCGGUGGUUGAAAGCAUGGGCCCUGGGUCGGCGGCCGUGGCGCCAAUCCUGCCUCUUCCCGUCAACAGUGCAAUUGAGCCCAUCCCCUAAGUUUUGAGGCCUCGGUGUCUUCAUCUGCAGAGUGGGUACGGUCACCAUACCUGUCUCCUGGGGCGGUAGCGAGGACGGAACGGAUCGGUGCACGUUAAGUGCCCACAAGCAUGCCUGACACGUGGCGUGGGCUCAAUAAACAUCGACUGUUAUUUUACUCCUCAA
This is an RNA transcript of Suricata suricatta (meerkat), 5361 nucleotides long. It is a transcript of the gene named chondroitin polymerizing factor 2, with no coding region annotated. The record is from RefSeq and is a predicted model, not a curated record. NCBI's taxonomy places the organism in Eukaryota, Metazoa, Chordata, Mammalia, Carnivora, Herpestidae. The transcript has 6 exons.